RNAcentral lists this non-coding RNA (45 nucleotides) under Trichobilharzia regenti. The record is from RNAcentral. Lineage: Eukaryota; Metazoa; Platyhelminthes; Trematoda; Strigeidida; Schistosomatidae.
AUCCAGUUGAAGAAUUCCAAAUAGGAUGAAACGCGCGUCCUCGAU